CAAUAGCGUAUAUUAAAGUUGUUGCGGUUAAAAAGCUCGUAGUUGGAUUUCUGCUGAGGAUGACCGGUCCGCCCUCUGGGCAGGUAUCUGGCUCAGCCUUGGCAUCUUCCUGAAGAACGCAGCUGCACUUGACUGUGUGGUGCGGUAUUUAGGACAUUUACUUUGAGGAAAUUAGAGUGUUUCAAGCAAGCGCACGCCUUGAAUACAUUAGCAUGGAAUAAUAAGAUAGGACCUCGGUUCUAUUUUGUUGGUUUCUAGAACUGAGGUAAUGAUUGAUAGGGAUAGUUGGGGGCAUUCGUAUUUAACUGUCAAAGGUGAAAUUCUUGGAUUUGUUAAAGACGGACUACUGCGAAAGCAUUUGCCAAGGAUGUUUUCAUCGA
Molecule: ribosomal RNA, 380 nt
Filed under: uncultured eukaryote
Lineage: Eukaryota
Description: partial 18S ribosomal RNA
Rfam family: Eukaryotic small subunit ribosomal RNA
Source: RNAcentral